ACUCAAUCAUGUACAGUACAUGAUCAGUUACCGAGGUCCCAUCUUUCAUUCGGGCGCUGAAGAUGGCACAACUAGUUUUGUGCCUCUCAACGUCGUCAGGAACGCCGAAUGAUUCAUUCAACAUUUGAAUGAUAUCUUUCGGCUGUGUAUUCUCAAAACGCCUACUAAACUCAUCACUCAUUGCUGCCAACAUGAUGCAUCGAACAGUGAUCCGGUCACUGAGCCACUUCUGAUAAGUGUCUCUGGCCGAUCUUGAUGCAUUAGCAGCGGGCU
RNAcentral lists this long non-coding RNA (273 nucleotides) under Phoenix dactylifera (date palm). Its description in RNAcentral is "long non-coding RNA (PDAC_LNC013240)". Lineage: Eukaryota; Viridiplantae; Streptophyta; Magnoliopsida; Arecales; Arecaceae. The record is from RNAcentral.